UACGUAGGUGGCAAGCGUUAUCCGGAUUUACUGGGUGUAAAGGGCGUGUAGGCGGGAAAGCAAGUCAGAUGUGAAAACCACGGGCUCAAGCUGUGGCCUGCAUUUGAAACUGUUUUUCUUGAGUACUGGAGAGGCAGACGGAAUUCCUAGUGUAGCGGUGAAAUGCGUAGAUAUUAGGAGGAACACCAGUGGCGAAGGCGGUCUGCUGGACAGCAACUGACGCUGAGGCGCGAAAGCGUGGGGAGCAAACAGG
This 253-nucleotide ribosomal RNA is filed under the name uncultured bacterium. Its description in RNAcentral is "partial 16S ribosomal RNA". It matches the Rfam family "Bacterial small subunit ribosomal RNA", at positions 524 to 776 of the family's 1533-position model. The record is from RNAcentral.